Molecule: unclassified non-coding RNA, 1007 nt
Filed under: Hevea brasiliensis (rubber tree)
Lineage: Eukaryota; Viridiplantae; Streptophyta; Magnoliopsida; Malpighiales; Euphorbiaceae
Source: RNAcentral
AGAGAGAGAGAGAGAGAGAGAGAGAGAGAGAGAGAGAGAGAGACAGGGGCAUGGAGAAUCCCAAUGCCCAGUCCAUCAGACAUCACAGCCUACUCUUCACACCCUCUUGUCACCAAUUAUGCUACUAAACUAAUCUAAUCUCUUCUUCCCUCUCUUACUCCCCUUCACAAACAGCCUCAUGCCUCUUCCGCUGAUCCACUCCCAUCAAACUUUCCUCUUCUCCUUCUUCUACUUCUUCUUCUUCCACAAAACAACCGAACCCUUCUUAUGAUCUGAAAUUCCAGCACCCAAUCAACAACCAUUGCCCCUUCUCCUUCCACAAAACAACCAAACACUUCUCAUGAUCUGAAANNUGAUCUGAAAUUCCAACGUCCAAUCAACAACCAUUGCCUCUUUUAUGGUCAUCAGCAAAAAACCCAGAUCACAGAAUCACUAUCCAAACCCAAAUUUCAUGAGAGAAGAUCGCACAGAAAUGUCUGAAGACGACGACCGAUCUUCGCCUUCUGAUUCUGUUAACACCAUUGAUUCUUGCUCCAAUAAGACUACUUCCGGUUCUACUUCUGGGUCUGGACCCAGUUCCAUACCUGAAUACCAAGCUCCAUACCCUGACCAGGUCCUGGAAAAUGUUCUUGAGAACGUUCUCUGCUUCUUGACCUCUCGCCGCGACAGAAACGCUGCGUCAUUAGUCUGCAGGUCGUGGUACCGUGUUGAGGCGCUCACUCGAUCCGACCUCUUCAUCGGGAACUGCUAUGCCGUCUCUCCGCGACGCGCCACGUCUCGUUUCACCCGAAUCCGAUCCGUGACGUUGAAGGGGAAGCCCCGCUUCGCCGAUUUCAACCUCAUGCCGCCCAAUUGGGGGGCCCACUUCGCGCCCUGGGUUUCUGCCAUGGCUAAGGCGUACCCGUGGCUCGAGAAGGUUCACCUGAAGCGCAUGACUGUGACGGACGAAGAUCUCGCGGUUCUGGCGGAGUCCUUUUUCGGGUUUAAGGAGCUCGUGCUUGUGUGUU